Molecule: long non-coding RNA, 1063 nt
Organism: Clupea harengus (Atlantic herring)
Lineage: Eukaryota; Metazoa; Chordata; Actinopteri; Clupeiformes; Clupeidae
Source: Ensembl
UUCUUUGUCCUAGGUCCAUAUUAAAUUGAAUUGGGUGACAAUAUCGCAGGGGGGUGUCCUUCCAAACAUUCACGCACAGCUGCUACCAAAGAAGACCAUGAGGGAUGACUCAAGCAAAGCUGAAACGGGUCGUCUGCAAUGAUUCUACAGUUGCCCAUAACAGACAAACCAAAACCCUAGCUCGGGAUGGGGCUUUUCGUGUUAUGGCGUUUGACGGUCACCAUAGGUCCGAAAGGAACUGGCUGCCGUACUGGUCCUCGAGUCUCAAGUCAGCAUUGGUACAGUCUUGAUAAAUCAGGGUGUCAAUGGGACAUCCACAUAUGUCAUCUGGAAGGGGUCUCUUGAUGAUAUCACCAACCGCAAGGGUAAGAUUACUACCCUGCAUGAGGGAGAGGACUUUGGGCAGCUAGCCCUGAUAAACAAAAUGCCCCAAGACAUCUCAGUCGUCAUUCGAAAGCAUGACUGUCACUUCCUCCGAGUGGGAAACCUGGACUUUGUGAGCAUCCUUAAGGAUGUGAAUGCAAACAUAGUACAUGUGGAAGAGAAUGGCAUACCUGCACUGAUCCUUCAGAGGAGCUCCAGCCAGGUGGUUACCGAAGAUGCACCAGAAUAUGCAUCUUGCAGCAACAACUUUUUGGUGAAGUUGGGAACACCAGCCAAGAUUCUGCAGUUCUUGCUGGGCUCAAUCAAACUGAACACAACUGAUGAUCGAAUGGGUAAGCAACUUCCUGAAGCUUGUAAUUUUUUUAUGGAUUUUUGCCAGUUUGAAACUUGGACAAAUACCAGUUACAUUGUAAAUGACUGAAAUGUCUCUGAUGUUUAUCAUGUGGUAAAGAGAAAGUGAAACAGGCUAGUAGUGCAGUGAUUAUGAGAGUUCUAUGUCAUCUUUGCACGCAGAUUCUUUUGUGUACAAUUUCUUGCUCACGCAUCAUCUCUUCAUGCCAUCUGAGGAGCUGUGCUCUGCCCUGCUGAAUCAUUUCCAUGCUGAGACAUCAGCCUCCACCCUGAAGACCAAGGAUAAAAUAAUAAACCUGGUUGUCCAGUGGGUGGCGCUAUAUGGCCU